AGGACUCUCCCCCGCCCAGCCGCCCCUACACAAGGACUCGCCGAACACACCUUGAAUCCCGCGCCAGAGUGCAGCCCGGAACUGCAGCUCGCGGCGCGGGCCCAGGACUGAGCAGCUAGGCGCGAGCGAAAACAAACAGCUGGGGCUGCGAGCGCCCCCGCCCCGGCCCCGAGAGCACGCCGGCCCAGUCCCCCACCUGGGGCGCCCGUCUGCCCACCAUGAGGAAGAUCCGCGCCAAUGCCAUCGCCAUCCUGACCGUAGCCUGGAUCCUGGGCACUUUCUACUACUUAUGGCAGGACAACCGAGCCCACGCAGCAUCCUCCGGCGGCCGGGGCGCGCAGAGGGCCGGCAGGAGGUCGGAGCAGCUCCGCGAGGACCGCACCAUCCCGCUCAUUGUGACAGGAACUCCCUCGAAAGGCUUUGAUGAGAAGGCCUACCUGUCGGCCAAGCAGCUGAAGGCUGGAGAGGACCCCUACAGACAGCAUGCCUUCAACCAGCUGGAGAGUGACAAGCUGAGCCCGGACCGGCCCAUCCGGGACACCCGCCAUUACAGCUGCCCAUCUGUGUCCUACUCCUCGGACCUGCCAGCCACCAGCGUCAUCAU
RNAcentral lists this small RNA (604 nucleotides) under Pan troglodytes (chimpanzee). RNAcentral's name for it is "processed transcript". The record is from RNAcentral. Lineage: Eukaryota; Metazoa; Chordata; Mammalia; Primates; Hominidae.